UCGAGGGGCAUCAGGAAGAAGCUUGCUUUCUUUGCUGGCGACCGGCGCACGGGUGAGUAACACGUAUCCAACCUGCCCUUUACUCGGGGAUAGCCUUUCGAAAGAAAGAUUAAUACCCGAUGGCAUAAUGAUUCCGCAUGGUUUCAUUAUUAAAGGAUUCCGGUAAAGGAUGGGGAUGCGUUCCAUUAGGUUGUUGGUGAGGUAACGGCUCACCAAGCCUUCGAUGGAUAGGGGUUCUGAGAGGAAGGUCCCCCACAUUGGAACUGAGACACGGUCCAAACUCCUACGGGAGGCAGCAGUGAGGAAUAUUGGUCAAUGGGCGCUAGCCUGAACCAGCCAAGUAGCGCGAAGGAUGAAGGCUCUAUGGGUCGUAAACUUCUUUUAUAUAAGAAUAAAGUGCAGUAUGUAUACUGUUUUGUAUGUAUUAUAUGAAUAAGGAUCGGCUAACUCCGUGCCAGCAGCCGCGGUAAUACGGAGGAUCCGAGCGUUAUCCGGAUUUAUUGGGUUUAAAGGGAGCGUAGGUGGACUGGUAAGUCAGUUGUGAAAGUUUGCGGCUCAACCGUAAAAUUGCAGUUGAUACUGCCAGUCUUGAGUACAGUAGAGGUGGGCGGAAUUCGUGGUGUAGCGGUGAAAUGCUUAGAUAUCACGAAGAACUCCGAUUGCGAAGGCAGCUCACUGGACUGCAACUGACA
Molecule: ribosomal RNA, 692 nt
Filed under: uncultured bacterium
Lineage: Bacteria
Description: bacterial SSU rRNA
Rfam family: Bacterial small subunit ribosomal RNA
Source: RNAcentral